This is a long non-coding RNA of Haliotis rubra (blacklip abalone), 104 nucleotides long. RefSeq lists it as uncharacterized. The record is from RefSeq and is a predicted model, not a curated record. The transcript has 3 exons. NCBI's taxonomy places the organism in Eukaryota, Metazoa, Mollusca, Gastropoda, Lepetellida, Haliotidae.
AGGUGUGGUCAGUAUAAGACUACUUCAUGAGGUGUGUGUUUGCAGGUGUGGUCAGUAUAAGACUACUUCAUGAGGUGUGUGUUUGCAGGUGUCAUCAGUAUAAG